RNAcentral lists this ribosomal RNA (253 nucleotides) under uncultured bacterium. RNAcentral's name for it is "partial 16S ribosomal RNA". It matches the Rfam family "Bacterial small subunit ribosomal RNA", at positions 524 to 776 of the family's 1533-position model. The record is from RNAcentral.
UACGUAGGGGGCAAGCGUUGUCCGGAAUCAUUGGGCGUAAAGCGCGUGUAGGCGGGUCGGUAAGUCCGCUCUGAAAGCCCGGGGCUCAACCCCGGGAGGCGGGUGGAUACUGUCGACCUCGAGUCCGGAAGAGGCGAGUGGAAUUCCUGGUGUAGCGGUGAAAUGCGCAGAUAUCAGGAGGAACACCAAUGGCGAAGGCAGCUCGCUGGGACGGUACUGACGCUGAGACGCGAAAGCGUGGGGAGCAAAUAGG